Molecule: long non-coding RNA, 1766 nt
Organism: Arachis duranensis
Lineage: Eukaryota; Viridiplantae; Streptophyta; Magnoliopsida; Fabales; Fabaceae
Exons: 6
Source: RefSeq, a predicted model, not a curated record
UUCCCCCAAUCAUUCGUGCAUUCCCUGGAGACCUCUGGAGCCAAGGAAAACCCUAGCCCUUCAUCGGCGCCGCCGUCCCCAGGUCCUCAGCGCCACCGCUGCUUCCUCUUCCCCGUGUUGUUUUCGUUUUCGCUGGCACGUCGUUUUCAUCUUCCUCUUCCCCAGGUAGCUCGGCAUGUCGUUUUCAUCUUCGCUGGCUUCUCGGCACGGAACCCAGUACCUAUGUUACUGAUUCACGGAUUCAUCCCUCUUGUCAUUAUCAUCGGCAUGAACCCCGAACCAAAACCCCAACUCUCUGGAUAAAUUUGUAACGAAAGCUGAUUGAGACUUUUUCUUCUACUUAAGGUUCUUUUGUUUUUGGCUUUUUGCUGGAACAAAGACAAGAGUGGUCUCAGCAAUCCCCAUCCUCAGCAAGAACUUUUUACCUGGUGUAAGGUUCUCGGGGGAGUCGUUUGUCCAAUGGGUUGAAGGGAGUGAAUCGAGCAGCAAUCCCAAAACCACCAUUUAGCUGGAGAAAGUGGAAAUGCUAGCUUUUUGAUUGGAUGAUUACGCGUCUUCGGAUUGAUUUCAAAAAAUUUCAAUUUUCAAUUCAAGUUCUAAAACUGUUCUACACUCAAACCCUCUCUUUCACUUGAAAGAAGAUGUUGCAGCAAUCUCAAUUAAUUUUUCCGCCCAAAUUUGAUUUUAAAGGAAGAGGUUGUACAGCUGAUUGAGCGGGAAUUUUUCCGCUCAAAUUUGGCCCUAUAAAACAAAUUUCCUAAUUCAUCUAUUUCCUCAUGCUCCCAUUCACUAUCAUAACUACCCUCUUUUCUUCGAACCCUCCUAACAUUCUGAAACUCUCGUUCUCAUCCUCUGAAAUCUUUUUCCAUUGAAAAUCUUGAGUGGGAAAGCAGGAGAUUGCGUUCUCAGUAAGGUGUGUCGCCGGGGAUUCUCUCUCCUCCAUUGUUGCCGGAAUGUCUCAGACGGCGUCGAUCCCCCGUGACAACACCUCCACAGAUGACAUCACCAAAAACGCCCAAGCGUCAUCGAAUGGGGGUGGCUGUCACUGCUACGAGGCUGAGGAUCUUCAUUAUGUUUUACUCAAUGUAUGAGCACGUGGAAGGCCUAGCAAGGAGGCUGAAGAAGGGCGUGGACGGCGUUGAGGGAGUGGAAGUGGUUCUCUACAGGGUGCUGGAGAUGCUCCCGUCAGAGAGUCAGAUUGGCGGGAAUGAAGGGGAGUUUGAUGGAUGGAAGUGGUCGAGGCCUAAUGGAGGGCAUGGAGGACUAACAUCAGCACUGAAGACAUAAAAGAUUUAAACAAAACAAGAUUUUUCAUGUUUGAUGGACAGAGUGAUGGAAAAGAAUGACGUUUCUUUGGUUUCAUCCGGUGAUAAAUCAAGUUACUAUAUUGAGUGAUUAGAUAUGGAGCAUGGAAAAUGUGAUUUUGAUGUCAAUGAUUAUGGUGAGGAGGAUGAGAAGGAACAAGGAGAAGAGGAAGAAAAUGGAGAGGAGAGACUUGAGGAAGACCAAAGUGGAUGAAAUAAUGAUGAGAUGUAAUAACUUGAGAAAGUGUAUAAAGAGCAUUAUCACCGGGAGCUGUAACAAUUAUUAACCUUUUAUUCUUAACAUUGAUUCAUGUAGUUUAGUUUUAAUAAUAUUUGAUUCCAUCAUAUUUUCAGUUGUUUUAAUAGGUACAUGUGUAAGGACAUUAAGAAGAGUAUUUAUAAUUUGUGAUAUGGCUGGUAGCCUCAUUGAUGAACUAAAUGAAUACCAGAUUUUUUAUCGAG